This is a long non-coding RNA of Haliotis rubra (blacklip abalone), 275 nucleotides long. RefSeq lists it as uncharacterized. The record is from RefSeq and is a predicted model, not a curated record. NCBI's taxonomy places the organism in Eukaryota, Metazoa, Mollusca, Gastropoda, Lepetellida, Haliotidae. The transcript has 2 exons.
GGGGGAAAUGCCAUCUCUUGUAUGAUAGUGGACUGUGCCAUGGUCAUGUGUGUGGAUCCCACCAGGAAGGAUGGCCAGUGUUGCCAGUAUUGUCCUAAUGGAAGGAACUGCAAGUACAACGAUCACAUCAUCAAGGAGGGAGAAGUCUACAAACCCGACGCCAACACCGAGUGUAAAUGCAACACGCAAAUAUUCGGUGUCAACGCCCUGAAGGCUGUGUGUGUCAAGUCGGCCUAGUCUGUCUCUAAUACCUCAGAAAUAAAUCUUCUAAACUA